CUACGGGAGACUCCAGUGAGGAAUAUUGCACAAUGGGGGGAACCCUGAUGCAGCAACGCCGCGUGGAGGAUGACGCAUUUCGGUGUGUAAACUCCUUUUAUAUGUCAAGAAAAUGACGGUAGCACAUGAAUAAGCACCGGCUAACUCCGUGCCAGCAGCCGCGGUAAUACGGAGGGUGCAAGCGUUACUCGGAAUCACUGGGCGUAAAGGACGCGUAGGCGGGUUGGAAAGUCAGGUGUGAAAUCCUACAGCUUAACUGUAGAACUGCACUUGAAACUUCUAAUCUAGAGUAUGGGAGGGGGAGAUGGAAUUAGUGGUGUAGGGGUAAAAUCCGUAGAUAUCACUAGGAAUACCUAAAGCGAAGGCGAUCUCCUGGAACAUUACUGACGCUAAGGCGUGAAAGCGUGGGGAGCAAACAGGAUUAGAUACCCUCGUAGUC
RNAcentral lists this ribosomal RNA (439 nucleotides) under uncultured bacterium. Its description in RNAcentral is "partial 16S ribosomal RNA". It matches the Rfam family "Bacterial small subunit ribosomal RNA", at positions 339 to 795 of the family's 1533-position model. The record is from RNAcentral.